CGUAACAAGGUCUCCGUUGGUGAACCAGCGGAGGGAUCAUUACCGAGUUUACAACUCCCAAACCCCUGUGAACAUACCAAUUGUUGCCUCGGCGGAUCAGCCCGCUCCCGGUAAAACGGGACGGCCCGCCAGAGGACCCCUAAACUCUGUUUCUAUAUGUAACUUCUGAGUAAAACCAUAAAUAAAUCAAAACUUUCAACAACGGAUCUCUUGGUUCUGGCAUCGAUGAAGAACGCAGCAAAAUGCGAUAAGUAAUGUGAAUUGCAGAAUUCAGUGAAUCAUCGAAUCUUUGAACGCACAUUGCGCCCGCCAGUAUUCUGGCGGGCAUGCCUGUUCGAGCGUCAUUUCAACCCUCAAGCCCCCGGGUUUGGUGUUGGGGAUCGGCGAGCCCUUGCGGCAAGCCGGCCCCGAAAUCUAGUGGCGGUCUCGCUGCAGCUUCCAUUGCGUAGUAGUAAAACCCUCGCAACUGGUACGCGGCGCGGCCAAGCCGUUAAACCCCCAACUUCUGAAUGUUGACCUCGGAUCAGGUAGGAAUACCCGCUGAACCUAAGCAUAUCA
Molecule: unclassified non-coding RNA, 558 nt
Filed under: Fusarium proliferatum
Lineage: Eukaryota; Fungi; Ascomycota; Sordariomycetes; Hypocreales; Nectriaceae
Description: sequence contains 18S rRNA gene, ITS1, 5.8S rRNA gene, ITS2, 28S rRNA gene
Rfam family: 5.8S ribosomal RNA (bases 191-344)
Source: RNAcentral